GGGAAUUUUCCGCAAUGGGCGAAAGCCUGACGGAGCAAUGCCGCGUAAAGGUGGAAGGCCUACGGGUCGUCAACUUCUUUUCUCGGAGAAGAAACAAUGACGGUAUCUGAGGAAUAAGCAUCGGCUAACUCUGUGCCAG
This 139-nucleotide ribosomal RNA is filed under the name uncultured bacterium. RNAcentral's name for it is "partial 16S rRNA". It matches the Rfam family "Bacterial small subunit ribosomal RNA", at positions 357 to 511 of the family's 1533-position model. The record is from RNAcentral.